AGAACCCUGUAUUUUAUACAUGGUUUCAAAAUAGGACCAACACCAUUAAACUAGGGAACCGGACUCUGGGCGUCUAGUGCAGGCCUUCAUAUCAGAAGGAGCGCGAAGCGUUCGGGAGGUGCCCACUGUAUCCGAGGCAGGUUCUAUAUUUGGGCCAUGGAAAUACAGGGUUUUU
This 175-nucleotide non-coding RNA is filed under the name Calditrichota bacterium. Its description in RNAcentral is "Calditrichaeota bacterium (marine metagenome) 6S RNA". It matches the Rfam family "6S / SsrS RNA". From Rfam's summary of the family: E. coli 6S RNA was the first non coding RNA to be sequenced, but its function was unknown until recently. It consists of 184 nucleotides that fold into an extended hairpin structure with a large single-stranded internal bulge. The record is from RNAcentral. Lineage: Bacteria; Pseudomonadati; Calditrichota.